Molecule: ribosomal RNA, 332 nt
Filed under: uncultured bacterium
Lineage: Bacteria
Description: bacterial SSU rRNA
Rfam family: Bacterial small subunit ribosomal RNA
Source: RNAcentral
CGUGUAGGCGGUUGGUUAAGUCGGAUGUGAAAGCCCGGGGCUCAGCUCCGGAAGGGCAUCCGAAACUGGCUAGCUAGAGCACGGUAGAGGAGGGUGGAAUUCCUGGUGUAGCGGUGAAAUGCGUAGAUAUCAGGAGGAACACCGGCGGCGAAGGCGGCCCUCUGGACCGUUGCUGACGCUGAGACGCGAAAGCGUGGGGAGCAAACAGGAUUAGAUACCCUGGUAGUCCACGCUGUAAACGAUGGGUACUAGGUGUUCGGGGUGUUGACCCCCUGAGUGCCGAAGCUAACGCAUUAAGUACCCCGCCUGGGGACUACGGCCGCAAGGUUAAA